AUUGAUUCUGCAGUGCGCAGCAUUACGAUAAGAAGAAAAAAAGAAAAAUAACAACAGGCGAGUUUGGAGCGACAUGAGAGUGAGUAAAUCGCUUUCAUUUGGUGAUAUCCAAAUGUGUGCUGCCAUUUGGUGAGUGAGGUGGUCACCCUACCCCACCCUGACCCUCUCCUCUCCUCUCUGAAGGCCUGUCAGUCAGAGGAAGAUCUCAGGUGCGCGCUGGUGUCGCCAUAUCCCACAGAGGGAUUUGUUUAGACUUCAGUCUUCAAGUAAACCUGACCUGUAUGAGUGAGCGAGCGAGAUGCUGACCGCAGGGGAAAAUUCGCACACUUAUCUCGUAUGUCUCUGCUACCAGGAACUGGAGCGUUUGGAAACCAGCAUUUCAUCUGAUAACCUUUAUUGCUGAAAUAAACAUAAUGAAAGUGUCCGUAGGUGCUGCAUGCGUCUUCCUAAACGUGAGCAUAUUUUGAACCGGUUUGUUCAUAAUCUGUCUUGAAUUUGUAUACUUUCUCACUGGUGUUCCAGCUUUAUUUCCUGUGUGUGUCUUCCAGGUUCAAGAAUUAGGCCGGGAAAUAAUGAAGGUAGAUAAUAGCUGACCUUCUGUUAACUUGGCUGAUAAUUGCGAUGCGGAGGCUGGAAUUCUGCAGCUCUGGGUUCUCGCGCUGAUGAGAUGAACAAAUAAAAAGCAGCAUUUACAGGCAUGAAAUGAGCUAAUUCUGCGCCUGCACACAUUUCCACAUCUCGUAUUAGACUGUCGGGGUUUACUAGAUUAAAACUGCAGCUUAAUUAAUGUACAAACACAAGAUCAGAUUUAAUUAACAUCUGAUUUAAUUGCUUGCCUACAAUUGCUUUUCACACUGUAUGCUCCAAUAGAAAAUGAUUGCAAAAUGUAAUAAUUAUACAGACAAAUAUAAUGAGAAUGCAUUCAAAUGGUUUGAUGUAAAUCCAAGACUGAUCACUUUUGCUGAGAGAAGAAAAAAUAUCACAUUUCCACAGUUUUAUUAAUUAAUUUUGAUUUUGGGGAAAUAAUUUGAUUAAAUACCUCUGAUUAUGUGGUAUUAUAGAAACAAUAAGAUGGUUUUCAUGCAACAUCCCAAUUGAUUCAAAGAGAUUUUUGGAGCAUCAUCAUUUUUUGGUCCUUAAAGUGUAUUUUCGGUUUCGUUUCAUAAUAUAUAUU
Cyprinus carpio carpio is the source of this 1174-nucleotide long non-coding RNA. The record is from Ensembl. NCBI's taxonomy places the organism in Eukaryota, Metazoa, Chordata, Actinopteri, Cypriniformes, Cyprinidae.